RNAcentral lists this ribosomal RNA (441 nucleotides) under uncultured bacterium. Its description in RNAcentral is "bacterial SSU rRNA". It matches the Rfam family "Bacterial small subunit ribosomal RNA", at positions 335 to 791 of the family's 1533-position model. The record is from RNAcentral.
ACUCCUACGGGAGGCAGCAGUGGGGAAUAUUGCACAAUGGGCGCAAGCCUGAUGCAGCAACGCCGUGUGAGUGAAGAAGGUUUUCGGAUCGUAAAACUCUGUCCUAAGGGAAGAAACAAAUGACGGUACCUUAGGAGGAAGCCCCGGCUAACUACGUGCCAGCAGCCGCGGUAAUACGUAGGGGGCAAGCGUUAUCCGGAAUCACUGGGCGUAAAGGGUGCGUAGGCGGCUUAGCAAGCCAGGGGUGAAAGGCAUUGGCUCAACCAAUGUAAGCCUUUGGAACUGUUAAGCUUGAGUGCAGGAGAGGUAAGUGGAAUUCCUAGUGUAGAGGUGAAAUUCGUAGAUAUUAGGAGGAACACCAGUGGCGAAGGCGACUUACUGGACUGUAACUGACGCUGAUGCACGAAAGCGUGGGUAGCGAACAGGAUUAGAUACCCUGGU